UGCUGGACAAUCCUUCAACUCUAAGGAAUCGGUGAAUGCCAUUGCCAGAGAGAAAUGUACGGAACUCCUACGAUGUGGGUGGAUUUAGUGAGCACGCAGCAAGAGCUGAAGGCUCCGAUUGGCAAGAUUUCGAUCGGUCUGACCGGCGGCUCUCCAGCAUUGCCGGACCUCUUCAGGAGAGCUAGAGAAACUUUCGGGUUUGACUUCAUGAAGUCGAUAUACGGAUUGUCCGGAACCACGUU
Molecule: long non-coding RNA, 242 nt
Organism: Neodiprion fabricii
Lineage: Eukaryota; Metazoa; Arthropoda; Insecta; Hymenoptera; Diprionidae
Exons: 3
Source: RefSeq, a predicted model, not a curated record